Molecule: long non-coding RNA, 341 nt
Filed under: Zonotrichia albicollis (white-throated sparrow)
Lineage: Eukaryota; Metazoa; Chordata; Aves; Passeriformes; Passerellidae
Description: lncRNA (ENSZALG00000008915.1)
Source: RNAcentral
CAGAAAGACAAGGGCUAGUUUGUGAGACAAUUCCUUUGCUUGGUUGAAAAUGUUGUUGCUAGUGCAGCCUAGUUACUUAAAUCUGCCUGGAUUUUUGCUGCUACCAGUGGCUGUUCCUGUAAAUUGUAAUGGAUCUAUAAGUCACAUUGAAACGCCAGGGCUGCUUUUCAGUCAUGCUCACCAUACUUCCUUUUCCUGAAGCAAGUAUUCAUGAAGAUUUUCACCUACUCUUUGCAGCCAUUGAAUCUCCAGGUAAUGAAUCUUUCCUAAAAUCAGCCUGUGUGGAACAAGUUAACUUAGGUGAAGCUGAGUUCAUCAGGAUCUGCUCGGUAAAAUUAUAA